AUGACGAUAUUUGUACUGCAGCCGUCCACGCGGCGGCAGUACAUCUAUUUUAACAGCAGCCGUCCACGCAGGCAACGCAGCUCACAUGCGGCUCACGGCGUGCUGCGCCGUGCCGGUGGCCCUCAGCUCGCCGCGGCGGCGCGUGGCGAACCCGAGCCGCUCGGCGGUGGCCGGCUUGAACACGGCCUCUGGGUCGGCGUCCACGGCGUCGGCGAGCCGAGGCCACAUCCUGGCGGUGACCAGCCACGACCCGUCUCCCGCGGGGCUCCGGAUCACUGUCAUGGCUGCCGACCCGAGCCGGCCCGGACGCACCCACGGCAUCACCAGCCGCGGCGGGCCGAAUCCAAAGUCGCCCUCCACGCGGAACGGCACGAACGCCGACACCACCAGCGCCGGGCUGCCUGUGCCCAGCCCCACCGUCUCCGUCCACUUGCCGCCCUCCGCGAACACCCCCUUGUGCGCCUCCAUCCAAUCCACCAGCUCCUCGUGCCGCUCCUGCCGGAACACCUCCGCGAUUGCCGCCGCGGCCAUCGUCGCCACGUCGGCGAGCGGGGCGGAGCGCACCGUCUCCACGGCCGCCUCCCGCGACGCGUAGGUGACGACGUUGCCGAGGUAGUUGUUGACGUGGGUCUUGUUGUACUUGGCGGGGUCGAGGCGCCGGCGGCCGUCGACGAGCCACGCCAUGCGGCAGUGCGUGUCGGAGCCGCCCACGGCCGCGGCGAGGAGCUUCCAGACGUGCGCGGAGAGGGCCUCGAGCCGCGUGGCGCGGCGGGAGGGGCCGCUGGCCGCCGCGCGGAGGCGGUCGACGUCGGCGGCGUCCACGACGUAGUUGCGGCGCACGAGGGCGGCGGCAAGGAGGGCGUUGGGGAGGCUGGCCGGGUCGUAGCGCACGAACUCGGCGUCCAGCGACGGGGUGUAUCGCGGUGGCGAACGGGGCCGGAAGAGGGAGGAGCGGUCGUGGUGGGGCUCCCACGAGAGGCCGCCCCCGACGAGCAUCUCCGCCCAGGCGUUGGGAAGCGUGGUGAGGCCGUGGCCGUCGACGAGCAGGUGGUCGGUGCCCCAGGUGAGCGAGAACCCGCCGCACGCGAACCGUACGAGCUGCAGCGACAGCGCGAGGCCGCGCUGGAACGGCACCUGGAUGCGCCCCAGCGAGGCGUCGGCGUCGGCGAAGUCCACGUCCGCGAGCGCCGCGUCGGCGUACGCGACGACGAGCUCGGCCCCUUCGUUGCCGCACACGACCUCCGGCACGCCGGUGGAGGCGCUGGGCACGACGCGGCCGGCGAAGGGGUAGAAGCGGGAGAGGAAGGCCGGGAGCGCGGCGCGCGCGGCCGCGGCCACGGCCGGGAAGCGCGCGGCGGGCGCCGGGUAGAUGGCGAUGAAGAAGACGUGGAAGGAGCCGAGGAUGAGGUCCAGGUUGGAGACCGGGAGCACCGCCGGGAAUCCCCGCGGCGGGUCGGAGGCCUGGACGAGCGUCCGGGAGACGACCUCGACGGCGACGGCGCAGCGCUCGGCCGGCGGCAUCACGGCUGCGCACGGACGGACGCGGCGCAGGGAUGGACACGUAGGUAG
This 1569-nucleotide ribosomal RNA is filed under the name Triticum aestivum (bread wheat). RNAcentral's name for it is "partial small subunit ribosomal RNA". The record is from RNAcentral. Lineage: Eukaryota; Viridiplantae; Streptophyta; Magnoliopsida; Poales; Poaceae.